Molecule: long non-coding RNA, 4364 nt
Organism: Oncorhynchus nerka (sockeye salmon)
Lineage: Eukaryota; Metazoa; Chordata; Actinopteri; Salmoniformes; Salmonidae
Exons: 3
Source: RefSeq, a predicted model, not a curated record
GCAGGUUAACUCUCCCCUUGAGUCCUUGGAUCCACGCCACAACAGCAGCAUUUUUAAGAACCUGAGAGACAUCAUUUUGGAGUGCACACACACACACCAAUUCAUGAGGUCUGGCGAGGCUCUUCCUUUAUGAUGCCUUUGUUUUUCUCCCUGCUGUAAUAUGUCUGAGGCAUCCUGUUACCCUGGUGCUCCUGGGUAGAGGAUCACUUCUAACUGAAUCACAUCACAGCAGUAUCUCUCUAUGAAGGUGUUUUUGUUCACAGAAUCACUAUUGUUCCUGCCUUGUCUCCGGCCAUCUCUGCACCAGGUAAGCAGGGGUCCUUUUUAUUUAAAAUUCCUCCAUUUUAGGAAGUCUAAAUAUAGCUUGUGUCCUGCAGCUCUCUGUCUGAAUUGAUUACCUCAUGGAUCAAGCCUGGCUUCUUAUUUUAGACCACAGAUUACUGCUCAGAGGAUUAACAGUACAGAGUGAGGUUUAGAAAGUGGGAUAAAUAGCUAUUGGAAGCUAUUGUAAUAAAUGGAAUGUAUCAGUGUAUAUUUAGAUACCACAAGGAUUAAGAAAAUAUUGUUUGUAAUGGUCUUGCUUAUGUAAAGGUGGGUGAUGUGGAAGGUUAUGAUUAGAUAUCAAAACACAUUAUUGUUAUGUGUCUCGGUGUCUUUGUGAUGUGAUUUCCUGUAUCCCAGGUUUAAUGCUCAUGAAUUAUAUUUCUGUACAUCCUCAUCUAUUCAUUUAUCCUGAAUGCAAUUUCAUUACCGUAGCCUUGCUUGGUGAGGGAUGAAAACGGGUGCAUUGACAAGGCCCUAAACGUAUCUUUACAUUGCGGUAUCAUUACUGUAUUUAUGAUUUUCCGCUGCUUCAUUAUCUUCAUUGAAUGAAACCAAGAUCACCCCGUAAUGGCAGCACAUUUACUUCUAAUGCCCUCUUUUACAUGAGAUAUUGGGAAAUAAUCCCAGGUGCUGCAGUAUUCUUUCUUCUUCGUUUGUUUGUCUGUGUUUAUUUCUUUGCUCGCCAAAAGGUUUCUGAAGGUUCAAUGAUCCCGAUGGUAACAACAUGCACACAGGACUCAGACUCCAUUCACAGUUACGUACAUCUAUCCAUUAAAUGUUGAUCUUCAGAAAACUUUAGUCCAAUAUGACCAAGCACAGGGACAGGGAGUGGUAGGUUGUCUCUUUCUGCUGAAUGUGAUAAUGUGCUAAAGUUCUCAAGGUUAAGUUUCACCUCAAUGAGUUUAAGGAUAGUGUACAUUGCAUCCUUGGCUGCAUCUAUAUCUGAAAAGCACAGUAAACUUAGAGAACACAGGUUUUUUAACCUUAAGAUUCUUCACUUUCUACAUAUUUCAUACCAUUAGGGGAAAAGUCUUUACAGCUCAAUUUAAAGUCAAUAAGAAAGUAUAAUUUUCAUAUUCAGUUCCCUUUGCAGGGAUUAAUAGGAAAUCGAAAUGCCACACAUUCUCUACAUAUUCUCAAAUGCCCAAUUCUCUCAGUUCAGUUGAAUUAGGGAGCUCCUCAGCCUCAACCCAUCCACGCUCCGUGAAACCUCCAGAGAUUUUGUUAAAUGAGAUUAUUUGGCCUAGAGAAGGCCAUCCCUAUUUAAACAGCAGCCAUUUUCUCUCAGUAGAAUUAUAGAGGACUCAUAUAUCAUUGACAUUGUCACUGAGCUAUAGCCUAAUCUGGCUACUGUGCAAAUUGUUACUUUGAUGGGCCUUUAUGUCUUUUCACUUUGAUGAAUUCUCCUACAUAUCCACAGUAGCCACCUUUCCUCAGUCUUCUUCCAAGGGCAAGCACAAUAGUUUCCCUUGGUCCUGGUUAAGAGGAUUUGGGCAGCUCUUCCUUUAAAUUAAUUCACUGAAGAGGAUUUGAGUAGGUUUUCUAUAGAUACCUUCAUUGGAUUGUAUGUCAGUUAUUAGCAUUUUUGUAGUAAAUAAAUAAGGGUAAAAAACGUUUUGGGAGACUUGACCAAAUUCACAUAGAACUGUGAGUUAUAGACCUACCAAUCUACUUUAAAACAAGUCUAAGAUGCAUUAUAUCUGUUUGAUGUGCGCUAUUUCUAUGCUUCAUGUUCUUAAGUUUUGUUUUUGUAUCUUUUACUUUCGGUUUUGUACACCAGUUUAUAACUGCUGAAAUACAAAUAUUUUUGGUUAUGGAAAAUAUAUUUCACAGCGAUUUAGAUAGUAUAGUGUAGCGAAUCAUUGUACUGUCUUAUUUUGUCACAUAAACUGAAAUUAGGCAAACUAUUAGAGUUUUAGCAAGCAGUUUUCUGCAUAGUGCAACUUUAACAAUAAAGACAUUUGGAAGCCUAUAUUAAUGUGUGCGGAUUGUUCAAUGUUUCAAAAGAUAAAAUAAAAGCAUGACUAAUUAUAGGUUAGAUUUAUGGAUUAAUAUACAGUACCAGUGUCACGUUCUGACCUUUAUUUUGUAUUUAUUUAGUAUGGUCAGGGCGUGAGUUGGGUGGGCAGUCUAUGUUUGUUUUUCUAUGUUUUGGGGUAUUUCUAUGUUUCAGCCUAGUAUGGUUCUCAAUCAGAGGCAGGUGUCAUUAGUUGUCUCUGAUUGAGAAUCAUACUUAGGUAGCCUGGGUUUCACUGUGUGUUUGUGGGUGAUUGUUCCUGUCUCUGUGUUUGCACCAGAUAGGACUGUUUAGGUUUUCGCACAUUUAUUGUUUUGUUAGUUAUUUCAUGUCUAGUUCCUUUAUUAAAGAACAUGAAUAACCACCACGCUUCAUUUUGGUCCGCUUCUCCUUCACCACAGGAAAACCCUUACAACCAGGCUGUAUCACAACUGGCCGUGAUUGGGAGUCUCAUAGGGCGGCACACAAUUGGCCCAGUGUCGUCCGGGUUUGGCCGGUGUAGGCCGUCAUUGUAAAUAAGAAUUUGUUUUUAACUGAUUUGCCUAGUUAAAUAAAGGUUAAACAAACAACAAACCAGUCAAAAGUUUGAACACACCUACUCAUUCAAGGGUUUUUCUUUAUUUUUUAAACUAUUUAUCUACAUUGUAGCAUAGUAGUGAAGACAUCAAAACUAUGAAAUACCACAUGGACUCGUAGUAAAAAUGAAAAUAUAUUUUAUAUUUGAGAUUCUUCAAAAUAGCCACCCUUUGAUAGCUUUGCACACAAUUAUUUUUUUCUUCUUUCAUAAUACAGAUCAACAAUUUACGUUGUUACGUCAUACAAAACAGAACACAAGUAUUAAAAAGAAAAUACUAAAACAUGCAAAAUAUAUAAAUUAAAUAAUAAUUAAAUAAACAAUUCUAGUGCAAUUGUAGUCACACUGAAAAAAAUCGUAUUAUAAUGUUUCUUGUUGUUAUUCACUAGGGUUCAUGUUUUAAUAAGAUAGUUAAAUUCAAUAAAAAAUAAAUGUAAUUUUUGUAUAAGUCAAUUCUUCAUGAUCUUAUCUGUCUCUUUCUUGGAAGGUUGUUUAUAUGAAUAUUAUAUAUAUUUUUAUCUGUAGCUGUAUGAAUAAUGAAUGAAAGCACCAGAUGAUGUAAAGGCGGACUAAUGAAGUUUGCAGUUUGAAUAGGACACACAACACACUCCAGUCAGAUGAAGGAGGCAGCACACUGAGUGUUUCCACUUUCCAUCUGCCACUGUGCUUGCGUAACCGUUCCAGAGGACAGCGUUGAGCAAGAUGGGGUCCCAGCACCAUGUAACAUGCAGCAUGCAGCACCAGCUGUGACUCAUGAUGAGCAGGACUCUCUCUUCCUCUUUCUCAGUCUCUCUGAGCCCUUCUGUCUGGGUCUAUGGGGAGAUGCUGGACCCCAGCUCCCCCUGGAAGCAAUAUGUCCCACUUCCACUAAAUGUCUGCUCCAUUAGCCUACAGGCCCAUUUGCCAACAUCCCCAGGACCUGUCACUGCCCCACCUCCUCCAGGAACAAGGUGUGAGGUCACCCUGGCCUUUUGUGAUUAGCUCCCGGCUGCUUUUUUAUGAAGGAGGAACAAAGUAGCCUAGUUCUUUCUGGUAAUUACCGUGCAAUCAGUUUAUAAUUCAUGUACCUUUUGAACUGAGAAGAGCAGGGGGUUGUCACAAGGUGUGGUAACUGUGCAAUAAUACACGUGUGCAUGGUUUUAUAAGUGGGGGGGGCAUAAUAUUAAUAUUAUAUAUAUAUAUUUUUUAUCCAGUCGGAUAAACACUCCAAACGGCCUACCCGACGCUCGGAGGCGUCCGCAUGGUCCUAAAGCACACCGCUGCCUUGUUUUGUAUCACAUUCCAAUGAUAAAACAUGGCGGACAAAAAUGUAAUUUCAGAAUGUUCCUUCCCCAGUGAAAGUUUCACCCCAGUGUAAAUGUGUAGCCUAAUUACAUUGUUGUGAAGGAGCAUCAAUCCACCCAUUGUUAAAACUCAUAAAUGUGACAAUGAAAUAAGUAUGAAAUUAAA